Molecule: ribosomal RNA, 623 nt
Filed under: uncultured bacterium
Lineage: Bacteria
Description: bacterial SSU rRNA
Rfam family: Bacterial small subunit ribosomal RNA
Source: RNAcentral
GUCGAGCGGUAACAUUUCUAGCUUGCUAGAAGAUGACGAGCGGCGGACGGGUGAGUAAUGCUUGGGAAUAUGCCUUAUGGUGGGGGACAACAGUUGGAAACGACUGCUAAUACCGCAUAAUGUCUACGGACCAAAGGGGGGGAUCUUCGGACCUCUCGCCAUUUGAUUAGCCCAAGUGAGAUUAGCUAGUUGGUGAGGUAAUCGCUCACCAAGGCGACGAUCUCUAGCUGGUUUGAGAGGAUGAUCAGCCACACUGGGACUGAGACACGGCCCAGACUCCUACGGGAGGCAGCAGUGGGGAAUAUUGCACAAUGGGCGCAAGCCUGAUGCAGCCAUGCCGCGUGUGUGAAGAAGGCCUUCGGGUUGUAAAGCACUUUCAGUAAGGAGGAAAGGGAUGUAGUUAAUAACUGCAUUCUGUGACGUUACUUACAGAAGAAGCACCGGCUAACUUCGUGCCAGCAGCCGCGGUAAUACGAGGGGUGCAAGCGUUAAUCGGAAUUACUGGGCGUAAAGCGUUCGUAGGCGGUUGAUUAAGCAAGAUGUGAAAGCCCAGGGCUCAACCUUGGAACUGCAUUUUGAACUGGUCAACUAGAGUACUGUAGAGGGUGGUGGAAUUCCCAGUG